RNAcentral lists this long non-coding RNA (1068 nucleotides) under Sorghum bicolor (sorghum). RNAcentral's name for it is "long non-coding RNA (SBIC_LNC007941)". The record is from RNAcentral. Lineage: Eukaryota; Viridiplantae; Streptophyta; Magnoliopsida; Poales; Poaceae.
CCGCUGGAUAAAGUGUCAUGAUCGAUCAAAUCAAGCUAGCUUUUGGUAGCUACUGAAAGUAUUUUAUGCCGUCAACUUGCAAACUAAUGCAUUGUACCAGGCCUUAAGUAUUGACAGAUUAAGCAUGGCUGCAAUUAGUUUAAUUAAUUAGGUCAUGUUCUGUUGUGCACCUGUGCCUGCUCUAUAAUGUUGUACAACUAAUCUAGCCAUCUAGGGGCACUGUUGAUGAGCGGUUAUGCGUGCUUUGGCAUUUUGCAGGGAACACAAAGCACUUUUGUUCUGACGAAUUUUGUUGCUGUCAAGGACAACAAAAGAAAGAGUAGCCAAGGAGGAAGCAUUUCAACGACCCUGAAACGUGCAGCCAGUGAUGCUGUCUCUCUGUGUGCAGGUUCUUCUAACCCCAGCUCGCCCAUGAACUGAACAAUGGAGAAGAGCAUCCAGACAAGAAAAAAAAAGUUAGUGAUAUUUCUCUUCUAUAAAAAACUGCAGUGAAAUGUCAAAUUCUUUUUUCUUUAUGUGGAAUUGUCACAAAUUUUUUUAGAAUUACACGGUAAAUGCAGACACUUACAAUGCACAUACACUCACCCCUAUGAAUACACGUACGUAAAACCUACCCUUAUGAGCACCUCCGAAUAAUUGAGCCCCCACAUCACGAGAUCCACGAAGUCAUCACAGGUGUCUCGCUGUUGACGGAGAUGUCGCCUACCACUGAAAGCAUAGCGUUAUUAAAUCGUGGAAUAAAUUCAAAAAAAUACGAGCACCCGUACCAAGUCGGGGACUUAAAUUCAGAUGAGCAGAUUCCACCACAAGAAAACCAACCAGCUGAUCUAUACUACAACUACUAAGUUUUCCUCUUGAACUGCAUGUUUCUUUUUCACCAAAUUUUCAGCCCUUUCAAGGAGGCUAGACAUGAUUUUUUUUUAGCGCAUUUUCGGCUUCGAGGUUUGCGAGAAAUAAUCUGCGGCCACAAACACCGGGAAAGAACAUUACCACGCUGCGAAGGACAGGCACAGCACAGGGGAAUGUGGGACGCUGCCCUCUGCUUGCCUCCCGGCGCCGGCGAGCGGC